UACGAAGGGGGCUAGCGUUGUUCGGAAUUACUGGGCGUAAAGCGCACGUAGGCGGAUUGUUUAGUGAGGGGUGAAAUCCCAGGGCUCAACCCCUGGAACUGCCUCUCAUACUGGCAAUCUCGAGUUCGAGAGAGGUGAGUGGAAUUCCGAGUGUAGAGGUGAAAUUCGUAGAUAUUCGGAGGAACACCAGUGGCGAAGGCGGCUCACUGGCUCGAUACUGACGCUGAGGUGUGAAAGCGUGGGGAGCAAACAGGAUUAGAUACCCU
RNAcentral lists this ribosomal RNA (266 nucleotides) under uncultured prokaryote. RNAcentral describes it as "partial 16S ribosomal RNA". It matches the Rfam family "Bacterial small subunit ribosomal RNA", at positions 524 to 788 of the family's 1533-position model. The record is from RNAcentral.